CCAAUCGCCUCCAAACACUAUAAAACGACGUAAAAUCGCAGAAUAGGUCGUUCCUGAAGGCUAGAAGCUUAUAGGUUUAAUCAAAAAUACAACCAUCUCCAAUCGUCUCCAAACGCUACGAAACGUCGUCAAAUCGCAGAAUAGAUCGUUUCUGAAGGCUAGAAGCUUAUACGUUUAAUCAAAAAUACAACCAGCUCCAAUCGUCUCCAAACGCUACGAAACGUCGUCAAAUCGCAGAAUAGAUCGUUUCUGAAGGCUAGAAGCUUAUACGUUUAAUCAAAAUUACAACCAUCUCCAAUCGUCUUCAAACGCGACGAAACGUCGUGAAAUCGCAAAAUAAAGCGUUUUUGAAAGGUAGAAGCUCAUAUCUUUGAUGAGAAUUUCCACCACCUCCAAUCGUCUCCAAACACUAUAAAACGACGUAAACUCGCAGAAUAGAUCGUUCCUGAAGGCUAGAAGCUUAUAGGUUUAAUCAAAAAUACAACCAUCUCCAACCGUCUCCAAACGCUACGAAACGUCGUCAAAUCGCAGAAUAGAUCGUUUCUGAAGGCUAGAAGCUUAUACGUUUAAUCAAAAAUACAACC
This is a long non-coding RNA of Rhipicephalus sanguineus (brown dog tick), 584 nucleotides long. RefSeq lists it as uncharacterized. Lineage: Eukaryota; Metazoa; Arthropoda; Arachnida; Ixodida; Ixodidae. The transcript is spliced from 3 exons. The record is from RefSeq and is a predicted model, not a curated record.